CGCCUGUUUAUCAAAAACAUGUCCUUUUGUUAAUUAUUUAAGGUCUGGCCUGCUCAAUGAGUUGUUAAAUAGCCGCAGUAUUUUGACUGUGCAAAGGUAGCAUAAUCAUUAGUUUUUUAAUUGGAAGCUGGAAUGAAUGGUUGGAUGAGGAAGUGGCUGUCUCAUUUUAAUUUUGUUGAACUUUAUUUUUGAGUUAAAAAGCUUAAAUUUUAUAGAAAGACGAGAAGACCCUAUAGAGUUUGAUAAAUUUAUUGUCUGAUUUUUUUAGGUUUUUAUUUUUAAUUGGGUUUGACUUUAUUUUGUUGGGGUGAUGUGAAAAUUGGUUUAACUUUUCAUUAUUUUUACAUUGAUUUAUGAUUUAUUGAUCCUGAAGUUUUGGAUUUAAAGUAUAAAUUACCUUAGGGAUAACAGCGUAAUUCUUUUGGAGAGUUCUAAUCGAUAAGAGAGAUUGCGACCUCGAUGUUGGAUUAAAGUUAAUUUUUGGCGCAGAAGCUAGAAUUUUGAGUCUGUUCGACUUUUAAAACUUUACGUGAUCUGAGUUUAGACCGG
RNAcentral lists this ribosomal RNA (549 nucleotides) under Iselma brunneipes. RNAcentral describes it as "partial 16S ribosomal RNA". It matches the Rfam family "Bacterial large subunit ribosomal RNA", at positions 1797 to 2619 of the family's 2925-position model. Lineage: Eukaryota; Metazoa; Arthropoda; Insecta; Coleoptera; Meloidae. The record is from RNAcentral.